This 121-nucleotide ribosomal RNA is filed under the name Tuber oregonense. Its description in RNAcentral is "partial 5.8S ribosomal RNA". It matches the Rfam family "5.8S ribosomal RNA", at positions 33 to 154 of the family's 154-position model. Rfam says of the family: 5.8S ribosomal RNA (5.8S rRNA) is a component of the large subunit of the eukaryotic ribosome. The record is from RNAcentral. Lineage: Eukaryota; Fungi; Ascomycota; Pezizomycetes; Pezizales; Tuberaceae.
UCGAUGAAGAACGCAGCGAAAUGCGAUAAGUAAUGUGAAUUGCAGAAUUCAGUGAAUCAUCGAAUCUUUGAACGCACAUUGCGCCCUUUGGUAUUCCUUAGGGCAUGCCUGUUCGAGCGUC